UACUUCUCCCUGUGUUUCUCCCGGUGCUCGUGCCGCCGACCCUCUGAAACACAGACCGACAGUCACCGGUUUCUUGGUCCGCGUAAGUGAAAGAGCCCAGACAGGAGUGACGGGCGUCACACACACACUCCUCUCCGGCUCUGUCGCAGCCUGUCAUCAGGGGACAGCGCUCAUCCUCGAGGCCUGCCUCCGGAUGGCCGGGGAGCACUGCGGAGGCGGGGGACAUCGAUGAAAACAUGAAGACUGGAACCAAAAAGGAGCACAUGGGACCUCGUAGAGCUGCGACCACGGUGCCAGAUAACUGCUGCCAAAUGUAUUGUCGGGCUUCUGAGCUGAGAGUGAAUGAAGCUUUGAGGAGAAGAAAGAGCGGUUGAACAUGACUCCUCUCCUGGCAGACGAGAGCCACUCAGAGACCUGGGGAGCUGCUG
This is a long non-coding RNA of Solea senegalensis (Senegalese sole), 428 nucleotides long. RefSeq lists it as uncharacterized. The record is from RefSeq and is a predicted model, not a curated record. Lineage: Eukaryota; Metazoa; Chordata; Actinopteri; Pleuronectiformes; Soleidae. The transcript has 3 exons.